AAGCGGUGGAUGAUGUGGAUUAAUUCGAUGCAACGCGAAAACCUUACCUACCCUUGACAUGUCCGGAAUCCCGAAGAGAUUUGGGAGUGCUCGCAAGAGGAACCGGAACACAGGUGCUGCAUGGCUGUCGUCAGCUCGUGUCGUGAGAUGUUGGGUUAAGUCCCGCAACGAGCGCAACCCUUGUCAUUAGUUGCCAUCAUUUGUUGGGCACUCUAAUGAGACUGCCGGUGACAAACCGGAGGAAGCGGGGAUGACGUCAAGUCCUCAUGGCCCUUAUGGGUAGGGCUUCACACGUCAUACAAUGGUCGGUACAGAGGGUUGCCAACCCGCGAGGGGGAGCUAAUCCCACAAAGCCGAUCGUAGUCCGGAUCGCAGUCUGCAACUCGACUGCGUGAAGUCGGAAUCGCUAGUAAUCGUGGAUCAGCAUGUCACGGUGAAUACGUUCCCGGGUCUU
RNAcentral lists this ribosomal RNA (454 nucleotides) under uncultured Rhodocyclaceae bacterium. Its description in RNAcentral is "bacterial SSU rRNA". It matches the Rfam family "Bacterial small subunit ribosomal RNA", at positions 927 to 1382 of the family's 1533-position model. Lineage: Bacteria; Pseudomonadati; Pseudomonadota; Betaproteobacteria; Rhodocyclales; Rhodocyclaceae. The record is from RNAcentral.